RNAcentral lists this ribosomal RNA (497 nucleotides) under uncultured bacterium. Its description in RNAcentral is "partial 16S ribosomal RNA". It matches the Rfam family "Bacterial small subunit ribosomal RNA", at positions 28 to 507 of the family's 1533-position model. The record is from RNAcentral.
GAUGAACGCUGGCGGCGUGCCUAAUACAUGCAAGUCGAGCGAAAAGAUGGGGAGCUUGCUCCUCUGACGUUAGCGGCGGACGGGUGAGUAACACGUGGAUAACCUACCUAUAAGACUGGGAUAACUUCGGGAGACCGGAGCUAAUACCGGAUAAUAUAUUGAACCGCAUGGUUCAAUGGUGCAAGACGGUUUUGGUGACACUUAUAGAUGGAUCCGCGCCGCAUUAGCUAGUUGGUAAGGUAACGGCUUACCAAGGCAACGAUGCGUAGCCGACCUGAGAGGGUGAUCGGCCACACUGGAACUGAGACACGGUCCAGACUCCUACGGGAGGCAGCAGUAGGGAAUCUUCCGCAAUGGGCGAAAGCCUGACGGAGCAACGCCGCGUGAGUGAUGAAGGUCUUCGGAUCGUAAAACUCUGUUAUUAGGGAAGAACAAAUGUGUAAGUAACUAUGCACGUCUUGACGGUACCUAAUCAGAAAGCCACGGCUAACUACGUG